This 246-nucleotide long non-coding RNA is filed under the name Bos taurus (domestic cattle). RNAcentral describes it as "long non-coding RNA NONBTAT001774". The record is from RNAcentral. Lineage: Eukaryota; Metazoa; Chordata; Mammalia; Artiodactyla; Bovidae.
UCCAUCUUUAUUUACACUGUGCUGUGAUUGGAUGUUCCUUUUCUAAGAAGGCUUUGGCAUCAGUAGGCUUUAACAAAUAAUCGGAGGGUUUUCUGAGCAUUCUGGUUUCCCACAGAUGAUGGGCUCAGCUGAUACUCCUUGUUUAUAAAUAGGAGUGACCACGUAUCUUGUAUCUACAGAGGAAUCUUCUACUUGCUGAAAGCCCUAAGCUAAAGAUGACUAGUACAGGAUGGAAAAAAAAUUGCU